AAUCUCAUUCUGCUUCUCUUGAUCUUUUUGACUAAUACUGGAUUUUUACCCCAAAAUCAUCCUUGCAGGCAUGCUCUGAGGAAAUCCAUGACAGAAGUAAAGACUGCACAGGCUCACAGGUCCUCCCUGGGUACAGUUUGCAAUAGACUUAAAAAAACCUGCUCCUGACUCCAAAGUUCCAUGUUUUGGGGAAUCUUUGGACUACUUGAACCAGCAAGAAAUCCUUGGCACCAUAGGGGCAGGAAACUCAGAAAUAAAUGCUACCCUCAUAGCAGAAAGGGAUAUUUUUCAGGCAGGAGUAGAUAAUAGCCUGGAUUAAGUCUGAUAGAAGCCCCAAAGAACAUGACACCCCCCAUUGCACCCCAAAGGUCACAAUCCCAUCAGAGGGGAACUGGGGGAGUGUGAAAGGAGCAGCAGCAAAUAACCCCUGCUCUUUGGAGCCAUGGCCACAUGUGGGAGAUGAUAGGAGAGCAAGCACCCUGCUGGAGAAUGGAGCCAUUUUCUGCAUCAGAGCUCUUUUUCAGGCUUCCUGCAGACUCCAAGACAGGAAUUGUUUCAUAGACUGUGCUCUGACCAGGCUUUUUGGGGGAUUCCAAAGUGAAUAUAUUUUCUUUGCUAAAGAAGGGCAAGCUGAGAGUUCCUGCUCUUAUGACUCAAGGAUCUGAGGCUCUAGUUUUUCAUCAUGGCUCUUAUUUUAUUUUUUUUUUUGGAUGCUGAAUAUUUUUGUCCUUCCACAGGUGGUAGCACACACAUGGGGAGCUGCACUGGCAGGCAGGGGGACAGAGCAGUCAGUGAUCACAGGUGCCUGUGGCAAAGUGAGACACUUCAUUUUCCUCCCCAGAGGUGCUACAGGUUAUCCCCACAUCUGACACCUCUUCUGGAUCCUUCUCCAUUGGGUGACCAGCCUGAAGCCUACAGACCUUGAACUGCCUGCAGCACAUUGGGACUGUGGAAGAAAGUCUUUGAAUGAGGCACAGAGUCACAUUCUGGUAUAUGAAUUGUUUCUGUACCUACAAAGCCAGCCCACACCAUCAGAGUGCUCUGCAACAUCCUGUCCUCAAUCUCUGCACAUGGAAAUAGCAGGAAAAUGGAUUCAUAGAAUCAUUAGGGUCAAAAACACUUCUAAGAUCACUGAGCCCAUCUAUUCACCCAGCACUGCCAAGCCCACCAUGAAACCACAUCCCCAAAUGCCACAUCUACAUAUCUGAAAUCCCUCCAGGGAUGGUGACUCCACCACUGCCCUGGGCAGCCUGUUUCACUGCUUGACAUCCCUUCAGCAACAAAACUAUUCCAAAAAUCCAAUCUAAACCUCUCCUGGCACAGCUUGAGGCCAUUUCCACUUGUCCCAUCACCUGGGAGAAGAGACCAACUCCCACCUGGCUGCAGCCUCCCUGCAGGGAGUUGCAGAGAACAGCAAAGUCCCCCUGAGUCUCCUGCUCUCCUGACUGAACAACCAGCAGUCACAGCCUGGGGCUUCUGUGCUAUCCAUUAGAAAAAGGCAAAAUGCUAAUUGUGGGUCAGGUGUUUAAAGCCAAAAUUACUUGGGGUUUUUGGCUUUUCCACAACAUAUUUCAUUGGUUUCUGAGGAGAGCUCCAAACUGAAAACUAACAGCAUCUCCAGCUGGGUGUGUAUUCUGUAGUCAAUCUAACCUCAAUUUGGAAUUGCCCUUCCUUGAAAAAAGUCUUAGGAACAAUUAAACAAAAAUACACGAAAUUAAGUGAAGAGCUUUUACCAAAAUUCCUUUGGCCAACAGCACUUUUUCUGUUGAGUGAAUGUCGAGCACAGCAGAAGAUGCUGAGAGACUCCUGCCUGUGGUCUCAGGAGCAGUAAGAGUCAACAUCUUCAGAGGCAGGAAUCACUCCUGUGAGUGAAGAGAGGCUGCUUGUACCCCUCUCUGUACCUCUGCCUUUCAGCCUGUUGUCACCCUGAUUUUAUAAGUUUUUCUCAGCCUUCUGAUGUUUACAUUCUUGUGGCAAACUUUCUCACACACUUUCUGUAAAUAACUUAUUGUUUUGCAUUCUUUAUGGAGAAGGAGAAAUUUGAUGGACUGUUGGUUUGUCCAGUGUCAUUGGAGAGGUGUGAGAGGUGUCAUUGUCACUUUUGGAAAACUAUUAAUGUUGGAGUCAGAAAAUAAACUUCCCUUUUUCUUUACCUUGAGAGCA
Molecule: long non-coding RNA, 2163 nt
Organism: Zonotrichia albicollis (white-throated sparrow)
Lineage: Eukaryota; Metazoa; Chordata; Aves; Passeriformes; Passerellidae
Source: Ensembl